GGGUGCUUAAGGCUUUCUGUCUUGAGCAUAAGUUGAGGGACAGAAAGUGAAAAACCCCGGAAAUGUUUCCAUUAACCGGGGCUAUCCCUCAAACUACCAACAAGUUGAGGAUAGCCCCUUAUUCUUUUAUUAGCAAGGAGUA
RNAcentral lists this antisense RNA (142 nucleotides) under Leclercia adecarboxylata. Its description in RNAcentral is "sok antitoxin (CssrC)". It matches the Rfam family "sok antitoxin (CssrC)". Rfam says of the family: Also identified in Shigella as CssrC. The record is from RNAcentral. Lineage: Bacteria; Pseudomonadati; Pseudomonadota; Gammaproteobacteria; Enterobacterales; Enterobacteriaceae.